UUGAUAUAAAAAUUCCACCGAAGCAUCAACGCAUGUCCAUGUGGCCAGCACCCUCCUCCGCUCAAGACCCAAGUCUGCUAGAACCCGGGCGCGCUCCAAAUUCCCCGGUCACCUACCUCCUCUGCCCUCUCACUCUCAGAUCCGCGUCCUCGGCUCCUCCUCCUCCUCCUCCUCCUCCCUUCCUUCGUUCCUUCCAGAUCUCCCUCCCAGUCGAGAGUCGAGAUCCACCGCCUCCGCGCCCCCUCACCGGUGCAGCGCGAGGAAGCGGGGGGCCAGAGGCCAGCCAUGGGCAAGGAAGGGGCCAGCGACGGCGGCAUGUCGGAGUCGGUGAUCCGCAAGGUCCUGGUCUCGUACAUGUACGUGGCGGUGUGGAUCUUCCUCUCCUUCUCCGUGAUCGUCUACAACAAGUACAUCCUCGACCCCAAGAUGUACAACUGGCCCUUCCCCAUCUCCCUCACCAUGGUGCACAUGGCCUUCUGCUCCUCCCUCGCCGUGGCGCUCGUCCGCGUCCUCCGCGUCGUCGACCUCCCGUCCUCGCCCGCCAUGACGUCGCAGCUCUACGUCUCCUCCGUGCUCCCUAUCGGCGCGCUCUACUCGCUCUCGCUCUGGUUCUCCAACUCCGCCUACAUCUACCUCUCCGUCUCCUUCAUCCAGAUGCUCAAGGCGCUCAUGCCCGUCGCCGUCUACUCCAUCGGGGUCCUCUUCAAGAAGGAGACCUUCAAGUCCUCCGCCAUGCUCAACAUGCUCUCCAUCUCGUUCGGCGUCGCCAUCGCCGCCUACGGAGAGGCCCGCUUCGACGCCCGCGGCGUCGCCCUGCAGCUCGCCGCCGUCGCCUUCGAGGCCACGCGCCUCGUCCUCAUCCAGAUCCUCCUCACCUCCAAGGGCAUCUCCCUCAACCCCAUCACCUCGCUCUACUACGUCGCGCCCUGCUGCCUCGCUUUCCUCGUCGUGCCCUGGGUCUUCGUCGAGCUGCCCAGGCUGCGCGCCGUCGGCAUCUUCCAGCCGGACCUCUUCGUCUUCGGCACCAACUCCCUCUGCGCCUUCGCGCUCAACCUCGCCGUCUUCCUGCUCGUCGGCAAGACGUCGGCUCUCACCAUGAACGUCGCCGGCGUCGUCAAGGACUGGCUGCUCAUCGCCUUCUCCUGGUCCGUCAUCCGCGACACCGUCACCCCCAUCAACCUCUUCGGCUACGGGAUCGCCUUCCUCGGGGUGGGAUACUACAACCACGUCAAGCUGCAGGCGCUCAAGGCCAAGGAGGCGCAGAAGAAGGCGGCGCAGGCCGACGAGGAGGCCGGGUCGCUGCUGCAGGAGCGCGACUCGCACGGCGACCGCAAGACUGACAACCAGGCCUAGCGAGUGUGCCGGAUCUCAUGAUCCAAUUCGCUCGGUUCUGAACCCAGUGUACUCCAAAUAUGUGAUCCAACCCUUACACGUUUGAUGCAAAAUUUGUUCAUUUCUUGUCUUUGACUUGAUCUGGUGGUACCAAGGAAAUAAGCACGGGAAAGAUGCAAGCUUUGUGUCGAACAUGUGAAAAAAAAUAUAUAUGUAUGAGCAAUUUUUUGUCUUUUUUUUGGGGCCAGUUGUAGCUGUUACUACCAUUAAACAGUAAGCAAAACUGUUUGCAUUUUAUCUGUAUUGCUGUGAUUGGUCGAUUGUCUUGCUAAUACAUAAAAAAUUGGACCCACUGGGUC
This 1691-nucleotide unclassified non-coding RNA is filed under the name Zea mays. Its description in RNAcentral is "misc RNA Zm00001eb150570". Lineage: Eukaryota; Viridiplantae; Streptophyta; Magnoliopsida; Poales; Poaceae. The record is from RNAcentral.